GAUGAACGCUGGCGGCGUGCCUAAUACAUGCAAGUCGAGCGAACAGAUAAGGAGCUUGCUCCUUUGACGUUAGCGGCGGACGGGUGAGUAACACGUGGGUAACCUGCCUAUAAGACUGGGAUAACUUCGGGAAACCGGAGCUAAUACCGGAUAACAUUUGGAACCGCAUGGUUCUAAAGUGAAAGAUGGUUUUGCUAUCACUUAUAGAUGGACCCGCGCCGUAUUAGCUAGUUGGUAAGGUAACGGCUUACCAAGGCGACGAUACGUAGCCGACCUGAGAGGGUGAUCGGCCACACUGGAACUGAGACACGGUCCAGACUCCUACGGGAGGCAGCAGUAGGGAAUCUUCCGCAAUGGGCGAAAGCCUGACGGAGCAACGCCGCGUGAGUGAUGAAGGGUUUCGGCUCGUAAAACUCUGUUAUUAGGGAAGAACAAAUGUGUAAGUAACUGUGCACGUCUUGACGGUACCUAAUCAGAAAGCCACGGCUAACUACGUG
This 497-nucleotide ribosomal RNA is filed under the name uncultured bacterium. RNAcentral's name for it is "partial 16S ribosomal RNA". It matches the Rfam family "Bacterial small subunit ribosomal RNA", at positions 28 to 507 of the family's 1533-position model. The record is from RNAcentral.